Molecule: non-coding RNA, 74 nt
Organism: Pseudomonas putida
Lineage: Bacteria; Pseudomonadati; Pseudomonadota; Gammaproteobacteria; Pseudomonadales; Pseudomonadaceae
Source: Rfam
GGGCCUAUAGCUCAGUCGGUUAGAGCAGAGGACUCAUAAUCCUUUGGUCCACGGUUCGAGUCCGUGUGGGCCCA